GGAUGUAAGGGCGAUCUGGCUGCAACAGCUGUCACCCCAUUGAUCACCAGGGUUGAUUCGGCUGAUCUGGCUGGCUAGGCGGGUAUCCCUUUCCUCCCUCAAUGCUCCACGUGCGUCCCUCCCGAAGCUGCGCACUUGGUCGAAGAGGAUGACCAUCCCUGAUAGAGGAGGACCAGUCUUCAGUCAAGGGUAUACGAGUAGCUGCACUCCCCUGCUAGAACCUCCAAACAAGCUCUCAAAAACAUUUAUUAUGACAGGCUGAGCAUGGUGGCUCACGCCUGUAAUCCCAGCACUUUGGGAGACUGAAG
RNAcentral lists this small nuclear RNA (308 nucleotides) under Callithrix jacchus (white-tufted-ear marmoset). RNAcentral describes it as "7SK RNA". It matches the Rfam family "7SK RNA". From Rfam's summary of the family: 7SK was discovered as an abundant small nuclear RNA in the mid-70s but a possible function has only recently been suggested. The record is from Rfam by way of RNAcentral. Lineage: Eukaryota; Metazoa; Chordata; Mammalia; Primates; Cebidae.